UGAAUAUGGGGGGACCAUCCUCCAAGGCUAAAUACUCCUGACUGACCGAUAGUGAACCAGUACCGUGAGGGAAAGGCGAAAAGAACCCCUGUGAGGGGAGUGAAAUAGAACCUGAAACCGUGUACGUACAAGCAGUAGGAGCACCUUCGUGGUGUGACUGCGUACCUUUUGUAUAAUGGGUCAGCGACUUAUAUUCAGUGGCAAGGUUAACCGUAUAGGGGAGCCGUAGCGAAAGCGAGUCUUAACUGGGCGCUCAGUCUCUGGAUAUAGACCCGAAACCGGGUGAUCUAGCCAUGGGCAGGUUGAAGGUUGAGUAACAUCAACUGGAGGACCGAACCGACUAAUGUUGAAAAAUUAGCGGAUGACUUGUGGCUAGGGGUGAAAGGCCAAUCAAACUCGGAGAUAGCUGGUUCUCCCCGAAAGCUAUUUAGGUAGCGCCUCGGACGAAUACUACUGGGGGUAGAGCACUGUUAAGGCUAGGGGGUCAUCCCGACUUACCAACCCUUUGCAAACUCCGAAUACCAGUAAGUACUAUCCGGGAGACACACGGCGGGUGCUAACGUCCGUCGUGGAGAGGGAAACAACCCAGACCGCCAGCUAAGGUCCCAAAGUAUUGCUAAGUGGGAAACGAUGUGGGAAGGCUCAGACAGCUAGGAUGUUGGCUUAGAAGCAGCCAUCAUUUAAAGAAAGCGUAAUAGCUCACUAGUCGAGUCGGCCUGCGCGGAAGAUGUAACGGGGCUAAGCAAUACACCGAAGCUGCGGCAAUGUCUUUUAGACAUUGGGUAGGGGAGCGUUCUGUAAGCCGUUGAAGGUGAAUCGUAAGGUUUGCUGGAGGUAUCAGAAGUGCGAAUGCUGACAUGAGUAACGACAAAGGGGGUGAAAAACCUCCUCGCCGGAAGACCAAGGGUUCCUGUCCAACGUUAAUCGGGGCAGGGUGAGUCGACCCCUAAGGUGAGGCCGAAAGGCGUAAUCGAUGGGAAACGGGUUAAUAUUCCCGUACUUCUGACUAUUGCGAUGGGGGGACGGAGAAGGCUAGGUGGGCCAGGCGACGGUUGUCCUGGUUCAAGUGCGUAGGCUUGAGAGUUAGGUAAAUCCGGCUCUCUCUAAGGCUGAGACACGACGUCGAGCUACUACGGUAGUGAAGUCAUUGAUGCCAUGCUUCCAGGAAAAGCCUCUAAGCUUCAGAUAGUCAGGAAUCGUACCCCAAACCGACACAGGUGGUCGGGUAGAGAAUACCAAGGCGCUUGAGAGAACUCGGGUGAAGGAACUAGGCAAAAUGGUACCGUAACUUCGGGAGAAGGUACGCUCUUGAUGGUGAAGUCCCUCGCGGAUGGAGCUGACGAGAGUCGCAGAUACCAGGUGGCUGCAACUGUUUAUUAAAAACACAGCACUGUGCAAAAUCGCAAGAUGACGUAUACGGUGUGACGCCUGCCCGGUGCCGGAAGGUUAAUUGAUGGGGUUAGCGCAAGCGAAGCUCUUGAUCGAAGCCCCGGUAAACGGCGGCCGUAACUAUAACGGUCCUAAGGUAGCGAAAUUCCUUGUCGGGUAAGUUCCGACCUGCACGAAUGGCGUAAUGAUGGCCACGCUGUCUCCACCCGAGACUCAGUGAAAUUGAAAUCGCUGUGAAGAUGCAGUGUACCCGCGGCUAGACGGAAAGACCCCGUGAACCUUUACUACAGCUUGGCACUGAACAUUGAACCUACAUGUGUAGGAUAGGUGGGAGGCUAUGAAGACGUGACGCCAGUUGCGUUGGAGCCGUCCUUGAAAUACCACCCUUGUAUGUUUGAUGUUCUAACUUAGACCCAUUAUC
This 1810-nucleotide ribosomal RNA is filed under the name Vibrio cholerae. RNAcentral describes it as "partial 23S ribosomal RNA". It matches the Rfam family "Bacterial large subunit ribosomal RNA", at positions 439 to 2240 of the family's 2925-position model. The record is from RNAcentral. Lineage: Bacteria; Pseudomonadati; Pseudomonadota; Gammaproteobacteria; Vibrionales; Vibrionaceae. RNAcentral also lists the same sequence under 1 other name.